This 274-nucleotide ribosomal RNA is filed under the name uncultured bacterium. Its description in RNAcentral is "partial 16S ribosomal RNA". It matches the Rfam family "Bacterial small subunit ribosomal RNA", at positions 523 to 796 of the family's 1533-position model. The record is from RNAcentral.
AUACAAGGGGUGCAAGCGUUAAUCGGAAUUACUGGGCGUAAAGCGUUCGUAGGCGGUUUGUUAAGCAAGAUGUGAAAGCCCUGGGCUCAACCUGGGAACUGCAUUUUGAACUGGCAAGCUAGAAUACUGUAGAGGGUGGUGGAAUUUCCAGUGUAGCGGUGAAAUGCGUAGAGAUUCGAAGGAACAUCAGUGGCGAAGGCGGCCACCUGGACAGAUAUUGACGCUGAGGAACGAAAGCGUGGGGAGCGAACAGGAUUAGAAACCCCGGUAGUCC